This 348-nucleotide long non-coding RNA is filed under the name Bemisia tabaci. RNAcentral describes it as "lncRNA ENSSSA1UGG012384". Lineage: Eukaryota; Metazoa; Arthropoda; Insecta; Hemiptera; Aleyrodidae. The record is from RNAcentral.
AUGGAAUUUUAUCUGUUCGUAUGUUCCAGGCUCGCAGCGGCGCUGUUAUCGUUUUUUUCGGUGCGGGUUCCCGAGUCGCGGCGCGGAAGUUGGAAGUUAAACAGCAAAAAAAAAAAAAAAAAAAAAAAAAAAAGUUGGAAGUUGCUCUGGAGACAUUCCGGGAACCGAUCGUCGCCGUGCUGUCCUUAUCUCCGAGCUUCGAGGAAUCGAACAGGAAUCCUUCCCGAGUUUGAGCUAACCAGCAGUCUUAUGUUCUAUUCAAUUUUGCGGUUGACAAGGGGCCCAAAGUUUGAUCGCUCUACUGCGGAUCUGAAUCCAUGGGAGAAACCACAGAUUCUCCCACAAUGA